UAAUACAUCGGAACGUGUCUUCUAGUGGGGGAUAACUGCCCGAAAGGGCAGCUAAUACCGCAUGAGACCUGAGGGUGAAAGCGGGGGAUCGCAAGACCUCGCGCUGGAAGAGCGGCCGAUGUCCGAUUAGCUAGUUGGUGAGGUAAAGGCUCACCAAGGCGACGAUCGGUAGCUAGUCUGAGAGGACGACCAGCCACACUGGGACUGAGACACGGCCCAG
Molecule: ribosomal RNA, 220 nt
Filed under: uncultured bacterium
Lineage: Bacteria
Description: partial 16S ribosomal RNA
Rfam family: Bacterial small subunit ribosomal RNA
Source: RNAcentral